GACGAACGCUGGCGGCGUGCUUAACACAUGCAAGUCGAACGGAAAGGCCCUGCUUGCAGGGUACUCGCGUGGCGAACGGGUGAGUAACACGUGGGUGAUCUGCCCUGCACUUCGGGAUAAGCCUGGGGAACUGGGUCUAAUACCGGAUAGGAGCCCUUCUGAGUGUGAUGGUUGGAAAGUUUUUUGGGGUGGGGAUGAGCUCGCGGCCUAUUAGCUUGUUGGUGGGGUAGGGGCUUACCAGGGGGGCGAGGGGCAGCCGGCCGGGGGGGGUGGCGGGCCAAAUGGGGACUAAGGAAGGGCCCGGACCCCAAGGGGGGACAGAGGGGGGAAAUUUGACAAAGGGGGCCAAGGCCGGUGGCGGGAGCCCCGGGGGGGGAAGGCGGGCUUUGGGUUGUAAAACCGUUUCCGUAGGUAACAAGGUUUUUGUGACGGUACUUAGAAAAGAAGCACCGGCUAACUACGUG
Molecule: ribosomal RNA, 464 nt
Filed under: uncultured bacterium
Lineage: Bacteria
Description: partial 16S ribosomal RNA
Rfam family: Bacterial small subunit ribosomal RNA
Source: RNAcentral